RNAcentral lists this ribosomal RNA (253 nucleotides) under uncultured bacterium. RNAcentral's name for it is "partial small subunit ribosomal RNA". It matches the Rfam family "Bacterial small subunit ribosomal RNA", at positions 26 to 285 of the family's 1533-position model. The record is from RNAcentral.
AGGACGAACGAUGGCGGCGUGCUUAACACAUGCAAGUCGAGCGGAAAGGCCCUUCGGGGUACUCGAGCGGCGAACGGGUGAGUAACACGUGAGUAAUCUGCCCCUAGCUCUGGGAUAGCUCCGGGAAACCGGGAUUAAUACCGGAUACGACCACCUUAGACAUCUUUUGUGGUGGAAAGAAUUUCGGCUAGGGAUGAGCUCGCGGCCUAUCAGCUUGUUGGUGGGGUAACGCCUACCAAGGCGACGACGGGUA